Molecule: ribosomal RNA, 424 nt
Filed under: Rhinella poeppigii group sp. ABGD cluster 44
Lineage: Eukaryota; Metazoa; Chordata; Amphibia; Anura; Bufonidae
Description: partial large subunit ribosomal RNA
Rfam family: Bacterial large subunit ribosomal RNA
Source: RNAcentral
CUUGACUCUUAUAAGAGGUCCAGCCUGCCCAGUGACCAUGUUCAACGGCCGCGGUAUCCUAACCGUGCGAAGGUAGCGUAAUCACUUGUUCUUUAAAUGUGGACUAGUAUGAAUGGCACCACGAAGGUUAUACUGUCUCCUUUUUCUAAUCAGUGAAACUAAUCUCCCCGUGAAGAAGCGAGGAUAUAUUUAUAAGACGAGAAGACCCUAUGGAGCUUUAAACAACACAGCAAUUACCUACUAAACUACAAGGUUUCUGAACAUUUUUAAUCUUUUAAGUAAUCUGACUGCAAGUUUUUGGUUGGGGUGACCACGGAGCAUAACACAACCUCCAUGUUGAAAGAAUUUUUUUCUAAACCAAGAAUAACCUUUCUAAGCAUCAAUAUAUUGACAUCCAUUGACCCAAUACAUUUGACCAACGAAC